UACCUUUUGGAUACCUUAUGCGUCCCUUUGUCCCCUCAACCCAGCCAAACAACUCGACAUAAAAAUCAGAGCUUUCUCUAUCUAAAAUCCUUAUCCCUGCCGUCAUCGCCAUCGUCGCAAGCACAAUUACGUCACCGCCGUCAACCAUUGCAACACCAGCUCCUACUUUCUCUUCUCCACUCACUUCUUCUCGUUCACAACCUUCUCCCCCUAUCUUCACCUCGGCUCCUCCUUCUACACCAUCCUAAACGCCGUGCACUUCAACAUCAACACCAUCACCACCAACACCGCCAGAUCAAAUUGGUUUUCUUCAAUAGAUUUCUUAUUACUCGUUGUACUUCGAUCACUUUUCAGGAAAACCACCCCGGGCAAGGCUAACGCUGUAUUGCAAGAUUUAAGGUCUCAUCAGCAGAAAGAUCAUAAGCACUUUCAGCAUACUGAUAGUUCUCCCCAAGUA
Long non-coding RNA from Amaranthus tricolor (Joseph's coat), 457 nucleotides. RefSeq lists it as uncharacterized. NCBI's taxonomy places the organism in Eukaryota, Viridiplantae, Streptophyta, Magnoliopsida, Caryophyllales, Amaranthaceae. The transcript is spliced from 3 exons. The record is from RefSeq and is a predicted model, not a curated record.